UCAUGGCGGAACAGCAGCGGGUCGGUGGUUCGCUUUCACACCGUCACAGAUUUGUUUUAAGAAGUUUUCUGUAAACUUUGAUCGGAAUCAAACUUUAAAUGUAUCCGAUCUGAUCACUAACAGGAAGCAGCCAGCGCGUGAGUUUGACUCAGAUGGAUGGUGAAGCAGGCCUGAGCCGUUAAGAAGGAAAGAAGAAGCUGCACAAAUCGGUUUUGAUGGAGGAACCAAACUCAGAUGUUGAGGAGCAUGACAUCAAGGAACCGAAAGGCUCAGUCAGCAAGAUGACACAACAGUCUGGUAAGAAGGACGUGUGAAGAGUAAAGGUGGAACUGAGCGUGAUCCUUAUGGAGCGGACGUCCUGUCUGCCUUUCCAGUCUGUGAGCCCCAUGACAGAUGGAGUGAGAGAGGAAGAGGAGGAGAGGCACGUCCAAGCUCCCUGCUCGAGUACACCGUCCAUCUAGGUGACCAGCACCGUACCACCAACCCCCCUUUCACCCAACCAGCCCAGAGGCCUUGUCCAUUCACACCUCCUCUUAGUUCAGUGGCUGCUGCAGUUACCUCUGCAGAAGAUCCAGCUGUUUCUGGCCCCAUGACUGGCACCUGCAGUCCCAUUUGCUCCAUGUGCUGUCCCACUGCUUCAGGCUGGGACUCUCUCAGAUCCACAUCCAGGAUUCCCAGCUGCUCUGAUGGAGAUCCUGUCAGUGCUGCUGCUCACCUUCACCUCCUGGGGGAGUCCUUGUCUCUGAUUGGACACCAUCUUCAGGAAACAGAUAAAAUGCUGAACGUGUCCAGCAGCUUGUCUCUGCUCCUCGACUCUCUGCUUUGUGCCCUGGCCCCGAUAAUCUGCCUCACCGCACAAAUACCAGAGCUCAGGAGCUGCACACAACACACACUGGCCUCCACCCUGGAAAACAUUGCCUAUAUGAUGCCUGGGCUGUGAGUGAUGAUGGAGACCACAAGGGCACAUGUGCUCUGAUAGGUUGAAAGACAUUUCAGUUUAGUUUACGUAGAAAAAGUGAGAAUCAAAACUAUUUCAUUAUAAAAUAAUAUUGGUUUGCACUUUGUAUUUGUGUUAAAUGUACACAUUAGUUAACGUUUAUGUAUUGGUUGUUUAAUUAAAAGACACAUUUGUACACUUA
Molecule: RNA transcript, 1139 nt
Organism: Platichthys flesus (European flounder)
Lineage: Eukaryota; Metazoa; Chordata; Actinopteri; Pleuronectiformes; Pleuronectidae
Gene name: HMG box-containing protein 4-like
Exons: 7
Source: RefSeq, a predicted model, not a curated record